Molecule: transfer RNA, 72 nt
Filed under: Candidatus Aenigmarchaeota archaeon ex4484_224
Lineage: Archaea; Nanobdellati; Candidatus Aenigmatarchaeota
Description: tRNA-Thr
Rfam family: tRNA
About the family: Transfer RNA (tRNA) molecules are approximately 80 nucleotides in length. Their secondary structure includes four short double-helical elements and three loops (D, anti-codon, and T loops).
Source: RNAcentral
GCCCCGGUAGCACAGCGGUAGUGCGGCCGGCUUGUAACCGGCAGGUCGUGGGUUCAAAUCCCACCCGGGGCU